CUGAGCACAUCCUAGACGCCUGCCCUCAUGAGCCCCUGACACUUGAGGGCUCCAGUCUGCUGAGCAGGCCAGGAGAGCCACUUGCUGACAGUGCUGACUCCUCUGUGCCCUCAGGGCGGCACUGUCCAUGGGGACUGUUAGUUGCCCCAGGGAUAGAAACAAGAGAGGCAGCUGUGGGAAUAGGGCUACCUCAGAAGGCUGUGUCCAGCCCAGCAGAGACUCCUUGCUUCCCCACUAUAUCAGACUAGACCUGAGAGUCAGAGUCCAGGCCUGAGGCCAGCCCAGCUUCCUCACAGAGCCCUUAUCAUCAACCCCAGAACAUAGAUCAAAUCGGGACGAGGGGGAUAGUUUUGUUUGUUUGUUUAAAUUAAAGCUGGUUUUGUCACGGUA
This 390-nucleotide long non-coding RNA is filed under the name Rattus norvegicus (Norway rat). Its description in RNAcentral is "long non-coding RNA NONRATT017864". The record is from RNAcentral. Lineage: Eukaryota; Metazoa; Chordata; Mammalia; Rodentia; Muridae.